AAAAACUAGCUGUUAACAAAGUCCAAACCAAUUGUAAAUGAUUUCUGGAGACUGUAGCUAGAUUUAAGUUUGGGUCUUCACUUUGUCCAAGAUUUUGUAUAAUGGACACUUAGGUGUCUUAAUUGCAGACCUUAAUUGCAUCUUUUGUGGGGUGAGGGGGAAGCACCUCCUUUGUUCUGCCUGUGUCCCACUAGUUCACUUGCCUCCUUACCUGUGCAGCCCGUUCUUCCCUUUGUGAGCCUUCCAAAGGUUUUCUGCCGCCUUGGGCAUGCACGAUGUUAAGCAGCCCCAAGAACUUUUGUCUCUUGUGUUCUAGGACUCCUUGAAUACUGAGGAAAGAAAGAAUACAUGUUUCCAUCUUUCAGGCGAAACGCCGAGAAGGAGGUCCCUGUACGUGGCCUCUGUGAAGAGUGAGAGGAAGGGUCCUUGUCUGAAGAAGGCUUGACCGAACAAAGUCGCUGCUCCCAGCAGUUUGACGUCUCUCACACGACCUGUGUUGAGGGUGUGAUACGUGAGGCACCUUACUCAGCCAGAACUGGCAGAUCUCUUGUCAGUUAAUGCAACUGCAGGAGCUAAAAGAGUGGUUUCUCUGGGCCAGCGUGGAGCCUACCUCUAAACACUCCAGCCUGAAAACCCUGACCUAUAAUUGUAAAGGGACGUACUCAGAGCCAAAUGGAGUCUACAUCAAACUCCACAGUACAAUGGUUAUAAUGUUAAACAAGUUUGUAUUUUAACUGAAACAGAAGUACCAGUGGGAAAGACUCGCUCCCUAGAGUGUGACUGGCCUGCUGCAGGUGCUGGAGGUGAGCCAGUGUCAGGGCAAAAUGCUGCUUCUCUUAGGCGUCUCUUGGUAAAUCUUAGAUUUUACUGUGAAUUAAACCAACUGUCUCCCCCCAUAUAGUGAGGGAGGCCGAUGGAAUUUGGUAGGAACUGAGCACCCAUCUGGGAUCUUUGGCCUGCCCCUCAGCAUCUCCG
Molecule: long non-coding RNA, 975 nt
Filed under: Anser brachyrhynchus (Pink-footed goose)
Lineage: Eukaryota; Metazoa; Chordata; Aves; Anseriformes; Anatidae
Description: lncRNA (ENSABRG00000006729.1)
Source: RNAcentral